Molecule: unclassified non-coding RNA, 610 nt
Filed under: Hevea brasiliensis (rubber tree)
Lineage: Eukaryota; Viridiplantae; Streptophyta; Magnoliopsida; Malpighiales; Euphorbiaceae
Source: RNAcentral
CCUACUGGAUGAGGAGAAGAAGGGGAAACGAUGUAGUACACCAAGGCCUUUGUUCCAGUCAGAUUUGGAAAAAGUUCUUGCAACAUCCACUAAGACAAGGAUUGCUGCAAAUGAGUACACUAGGUCAAGCUCACAAUCACUUGGAUGGUCUAGGCAGUCGGAUGAUUAUCAGGUUCAAGCCACAAUCAAUGAACUCUCUAAGCUUGUAGUUUCCCAAAUAUUGAACCUUCAAUCAGAUGCCCUGGACCAUUGAAAUCAUUGUCUUCAGUAAUUCACUUCAAAUGAUCUGUUGUUUCAUAAGAUUAUCCCACAGGCAUUUUAUUCUAUUUAUUUAGUGCUUUUGAGUAUGAUCCCAUGUAGAGUAUGUUAUCUGUGUAAUCAACAUGUUAAGCUAUUGAUUUUUAGGGCACUUGACAUACACUUUUGAAUGUCUUAGGAUUCCAUAUUUGGACGUAGCAGAAUGCUGGCUUGCUUUGCUGCAACAUGGUUACUGCACCUACAGAACUUCCCUCUUGUUAAUAGGGAUUCAAUUGCAAGAAUAGGAACCAGUUAUUCUGAUUUUGCUUAUGGCUAUUGGAGGGGUUUAGAAUUUCAACAUUUUGAUAUAGCA